GCAGUAGCCGCGGUAAUACGUAGGGUGCAAGCGUUAAUCGGAAUUACUGGGCGUAAAGCGUGCGCAGGCGGUUAUAUAAGACAGAUGUGAAAUCCCCGGGCUCAACCUGGGAACUGCAUUUGUGACUGUAUAGCUAGAGUACGGCAGAGGGGGAUGGAAUUCCGCGUGUAGCAGUGAAAUGCGUAGAUAUGCGGAGGAACACCGAUGGCGAAGGCAAUCCCCUGGGCCUGUACUGACGCUCAUGCACGAAAGCGUGGGGAGCAAACAGGAUUAGAUACCCGUGUAGUCCCUGUCUCUUAUAC
Molecule: ribosomal RNA, 302 nt
Filed under: uncultured bacterium
Lineage: Bacteria
Description: partial 16S ribosomal RNA
Rfam family: Bacterial small subunit ribosomal RNA
Source: RNAcentral